RNAcentral lists this ribosomal RNA (305 nucleotides) under uncultured bacterium. Its description in RNAcentral is "bacterial SSU rRNA". It matches the Rfam family "Bacterial small subunit ribosomal RNA", at positions 337 to 656 of the family's 1533-position model. The record is from RNAcentral.
ACCUACGGGACGCAGCAGUGGGGAAUAUUGGGCAAUGGAGGCAACUCUGACCCAGCAAUGCCGCGUGAAUGAAGAAGGUCUUCGGAUUGUAAAGUUCUUUAAUCAGGGACGAAAAGAAUGACGGUACCUGAGGAAUAAGCCACGGCAAACUAUGUGCCAGCAGCCGCGGUAAUACAUAGGUGGCAAGCGUUGUCCGGAAUGACUGGGCGUAAAGGGAGCGUAGGCGGUCUGUUAAGUUGGAAGUGAGAUCCCGGGGCUCAACCCCGGAACUGUUUUCAAGACUGACGGACUUGAGUGUAAGAGGG